This 900-nucleotide unclassified non-coding RNA is filed under the name Hevea brasiliensis (rubber tree). Lineage: Eukaryota; Viridiplantae; Streptophyta; Magnoliopsida; Malpighiales; Euphorbiaceae. The record is from RNAcentral.
GGUUUCUGUUAUGGUAAGAAAGUGCACAGAUAUUUAGAAAACCACAACUGGUAUUCCUGCAAUUACAGACAUAGAAAAGCCGGAAUACUGGGAAGGCAAAUGCCUAACGAAAGGAGCUAUUGAACAAAAGAAAAACUGAACCCUAAACGAAAAGCAAGAAGGUAAAAUGGUGUUUUGGACAACAAAAAAGCAGAGUUUGAAACGAUCAUAACGUCUUCUCACCAUCACUAAUGGACUUAGGCCGCCAUUACAGGUAGUCUCUUAUGCUCCAAAGCUUGUCGAAGCCUUUGGUAACCAUUUCUAUAGUGCUCGAGUGAGAAGCAAAGCUGCCUAAUUGCUUCGCGUUUCUCUUCUGCUCCUUCCAAAACUAUUUCCUUUUGUCUCUCUACUUCUCUUUCCACUUCUUUAACUCUAGACCUCAGCUCCUCUACCAAUUUACGGGCACCUUCAGUUUCAGAAAUCAACUUGACGUGCUCAAUGUGAAGUUGGUUCAAAUGGUUGUUCAUUUGAUCAAUCUGAUCAUCUUUAGUUCUUAGAUCUUCAUCUAGCAAGGCAACUCUAGCAUUUAGGUUAUCUUUCUCUGUUUGCAAUGCAUCAUAUUUCUGGUAUAAUGCAUCAAGGUUUCUGUUCAGUUCUUCGAUAUGGUUGUCCCUCUCAGCAAUGGUCAACUUUAACUGCUCGAUUUCAGAUUUUAGCAGCAUUUCCAUUUCUUCUUUCCCUGCUACAGCUCGUCUAACAUCCUCCUCUAAUGAUUGGCAACGUAGAUCCAUUUCUUUGAUACUAUCCUCCAAAUAUGCUCGUUCCUUCAAUAAUUUGGUAAUUUCACAUUGAAGAUCCAAGUUCUCUUCUGCCAAAGCCUUGUUGGCAUUUGAUAUUGAUUCUUUCAGUCCUCUGAUUUCU